Molecule: unclassified non-coding RNA, 334 nt
Filed under: soil metagenome
Description: partial contains 5.8S ribosomal RNA, internal transcribed spacer 2, and large subunit ribosomal RNA
Rfam family: 5.8S ribosomal RNA (bases 1-120)
Source: RNAcentral
GAUGAAGAACGUAGCGAAAUGCGAUAAGUAAUGUGAGUUGCAGAAUUCAGUGAAUCAUCGAAUCUUUGAACGCACAUUGCGCCCCCCAGUAUUCUGGCGGGCAUGCCUGUUCGAGCGUCAUUUCAACCAUCAAGCCCUGCUUGUGUUGGGGUCCUGCGGCUGCCCGCAGGCCCUGAAAACCAGUGGCGGGCUCGCUAGUCACACCGAGCGCAGUAGCACAUCUCGCUCAGGGCGUGCGGCGGGCUCCAGCCGUUAAAGCACCCACCUUUCGCAAGGUUGACCUCGGAUCAGGUAGGAAUACCCGCUGAACUUAAGCAUAUCAAUAAGCGGAGGA